Molecule: non-coding RNA, 29 nt
Filed under: Mus musculus (house mouse)
Lineage: Eukaryota; Metazoa; Chordata; Mammalia; Rodentia; Muridae
Source: RNAcentral
UUAGAUUGGUCUUUCAGCCCGGGGUACAC